Molecule: ribosomal RNA, 506 nt
Filed under: uncultured Glomus
Lineage: Eukaryota; Fungi; Glomeromycota; Glomeromycetes; Glomerales; Glomeraceae
Description: SSU rRNA
Rfam family: Eukaryotic small subunit ribosomal RNA
Source: RNAcentral
AGCAGCCGCGGUAAUUCCAGCUCCAAUAGCGUAUAUUAAAGUUGUUGCAGUUAAAAAGCUCGUAGUUGAAUUUCGGGAUCAAUAUAUCGGUCGUGCCUUUGGUACGUACUGGUAUCAUUGAUUUCUCCCUUCUGACGAAUCAUGAUGUCAUUAAUUUGGUGUCGUGGAGAAUCAGGACUGUUACUUUGAAAAAAUUGAGUGUUUAAAGCAAGCUAACGCUUGAAUACAUUAGCAUGGAAUAAUGAAAUAGGACGUUUGAUCCUAUUUUGUUGGUUUCUAGGAUCGACGUAAUGAUUAAUAGGGAUAGUUGGGGGCAUUAGUAUUCAAUUGUCAGAGGUGAAAUUCUUGGAUUUAUUGAAGACUAACUACUGCGAAAGCAUUUGCCAAGGAUGUUUUCAUUAAUCAAGAACGAAAGUUAGGGGAUCGAAGACGAUCAGAUACCGUCGUAGUCUUAACCAUAAACUAUGCCGACUAGGGAUCGGAUGAUGUUAAUUUUUAUGACUUCU